RNAcentral lists this long non-coding RNA (236 nucleotides) under Polistes fuscatus (common paper wasp). Its description in RNAcentral is "uncharacterized LOC122523684". The record is from RNAcentral. Lineage: Eukaryota; Metazoa; Arthropoda; Insecta; Hymenoptera; Vespidae.
GUGGAAAGGAAGUAAGCACGGAUCUUGCUCGUGAUGCUGAAAACCCAACCCAACCCACCGAAAACGAGCUGCCGCGCAGCUCGUGUCCGCUAUCGCCCACGCGAAUCAACGACGUCACGGACGGGGAAAUCCUAAAGGCUUCAACGAGACGAAGCGUGUCGACGACGUCUUUGGAUCGUUUGCCGUUCGCAACGCGAAAGGACAAACGAAUGGAAGAGGAAAAUUGACGUGAAAAA